GACGAACGCUGGCGGCGUGCUUAACACAUGCAAGUCGAGCGGUAAGGCCCUUUCGGGGGUACACGAGCGGCGAACGGUGAGUAACACGUGGGUGACCUGCCCUUAGCUCUGGGAUAAGCCUGGGAAACUGGGUCUAAUACCGGAUAUGACUCCAUGACGCAUGUUGUGGGGUGGAAAGCCUUGUGCGGCUAGGGAUGGGCCCGCGGCCUAUCAGCUUGUUGGUGGGGUGAUGGCCUACCAAGGCGACGACGGGUAGCCGGCCUGAGAGGGCGACCGGCCACACUGGGACUGAGACACGGCCCAGACUCCUACGGGAGGCAGCAGUGGGGAAUCUUGCGCAAUGGGCGAAAGCCUGACGCAGCGACGCCGCGUGGGGA
RNAcentral lists this ribosomal RNA (377 nucleotides) under uncultured bacterium. Its description in RNAcentral is "bacterial SSU rRNA". It matches the Rfam family "Bacterial small subunit ribosomal RNA", at positions 28 to 407 of the family's 1533-position model. The record is from RNAcentral.